RNAcentral lists this ribosomal RNA (506 nucleotides) under uncultured bacterium. Its description in RNAcentral is "partial 16S ribosomal RNA". It matches the Rfam family "Bacterial small subunit ribosomal RNA", at positions 28 to 523 of the family's 1533-position model. The record is from RNAcentral.
GAUGAACGGUAGCUACAGGCUUAACACAUGCAAGUCGAGGGGUAACGAGAGGAAAGCUUGCUUUCCUUGUCGACGACCGGCGCACGGGUGAGUAACGCGUAUCCAACCUGCCCCCAACUAGGGAAUAACCUUGCGAAAGUAAGACUAAUACCCUAUAAUUUCCUCAGAUGUCAUCUGACGAGGAAUAAAGAUUUAUCGGUUGUGGAUGGGGAUGCGUCUGAUUAGCUUGUUGGCGGGGUAACGGCCCACCAAGGCAACGAUCAGUAGGGGUUCUGAGAGGAAAGUCCCCCACAUUGGAACUGAGACACGGUCCAAACUCCUACGGGAGGCAGCAGUGAGGAAUAUUGGUCAAUGGGCGGAAGCCUGAACCAGCCAAGUAGCGUGCAGGAUGACGGCCCUAUGGGUUGUAAACUGCUUUUAUACAGGAAUAAAGUUAGCCACGUGUGGUUAUUUGUAGGUACUGUAUGAAUAAGGACCGGCUAAUUCCGUGCCAGCCGCCGCGGUAA